UGCCAGCCGCCGCGGUAACACGGGGGGCGCAAGCGUUAUUCGGAAUUAUUGGGCGUAAAGGGCGCGUAGGCGGCCAGGCAAGUCGGAUGUGAAAGCCCGGGGCUCAACCUCGGAACUGCAUUCGAAACUGCUUGGCUAGAGAACGGAAGAGGAGAGUGGAAUACCCAGUGUAGAGGUGAAAUUCGUAGAUAUUGGGUGGAACACCGGUGGCGAAAGCGGCUCUCUGGUCCGGGUCUGACGCUGAGGCGCGAAAGCGUGGGGAGCAAAACAGGAUUAGAUA
Molecule: ribosomal RNA, 280 nt
Filed under: uncultured bacterium
Lineage: Bacteria
Description: partial 16S ribosomal RNA
Rfam family: Bacterial small subunit ribosomal RNA
Source: RNAcentral